UCGGGUGUGGUGUAGUGGUAACAUCCAUGACUCUCAUUCUCUCGCUGGAAAGAGAGGUUCUCAUGAGCCCGGGGUUCAAUUCCCCGCAUCCGAG
Molecule: transfer RNA, 94 nt
Filed under: Phaeoacremonium minimum UCRPA7
Lineage: Eukaryota; Fungi; Ascomycota; Sordariomycetes; Togniniales; Togniniaceae
Rfam family: tRNA
About the family: Transfer RNA (tRNA) molecules are approximately 80 nucleotides in length.
Source: Rfam by way of RNAcentral